GGUUAGUACUUGGACGGGUGACCGCCUGGGAAUGCU
This 36-nucleotide ribosomal RNA is filed under the name Kryptolebias marmoratus (mangrove rivulus). The record is from RNAcentral. Lineage: Eukaryota; Metazoa; Chordata; Actinopteri; Cyprinodontiformes; Rivulidae.